RNAcentral lists this ribosomal RNA (244 nucleotides) under uncultured bacterium. Its description in RNAcentral is "partial 16S ribosomal RNA". It matches the Rfam family "Bacterial small subunit ribosomal RNA", at positions 524 to 767 of the family's 1533-position model. The record is from RNAcentral.
UACGAAGGGGCGUAGCGUUGUUCGGAAUUACUGGGCGUAAAGCGCACGCAGGCGGUGGUCAUAGUCAGAAGUGAAAGCCCUGGGCUCAACCCGGGAAUUGCUUUUGAUACUGGACCGCUAGAAUCACGGAGAGGGUAGUGGAAUUCCGAGUGUAGAGGUGAAAUUCGUAGAUAUUCGGAAGAACACCAGUGGCGAAGGCGACUACCUGGCCGAAUACUGACGCUGAGGCGCGAAAGCGUGGGGA